This 231-nucleotide ribosomal RNA is filed under the name uncultured bacterium. RNAcentral's name for it is "partial 16S ribosomal RNA". It matches the Rfam family "Bacterial small subunit ribosomal RNA", at positions 103 to 334 of the family's 1533-position model. The record is from RNAcentral.
CGGGUGAGUAACACGUAUCCAACCUGCCGUCUACUCUUGGACAGCCUUCUGAAAGGAAGAUUAAUACAAGAUGGCAUCAUGAGUCCGCAUGUUCACAUGAUUAAAGGUAUUCCGGUAGACGAUGGGGAUGCGUUCCAUUAGAUAGUAGGCGGGGUAACGGCCCACCAAGGCGACGAUCGGUAGCCGGACUGGGAGGUUGAACGGCCACAUUGGGACUGAGACACGGCCCAG